GAUGAACGCUGGCGGCGUGCUUAACACAUGCAAGUCGAACGAAGCACUUUAUUUGAUUUCCUUCGGGACUGAUUAUUUUGUGACUGAGUGGCGGACGGGUGAGUAACGCGUGGGUAACCUGCCUUGUACAGGGGGAUAACAGCUGGAAACGGCUGCUAAUCCCGAAUAAGCGAACAGCAUCGCAUGAUGCAGUGAGAAAAACUCCGGUGGUAUAAGAUGGACCCGCGUUGGAUUAGCUAGUUGGUGAGGUAACGGCCCACCAAGGCGACGAUCCAUAGCCGACCUGAGAGCGUGACCGGCCACAUUGGGACUGAGACACGGCCCAAACUCCUACGGGAGGCAGCAGUGGGGAAUAUUACACAAUGGGCGAAAGCCUGAUGCAGCGACGCCGCGUGAGCGAAGAAGUAUUUCGGUAUGUAAAGCUCUAUCAGCAGGGAAGAUAAUGACGGUACCUGACUAAGAAGCACCGGCUAAAUACGUG
Molecule: ribosomal RNA, 481 nt
Filed under: uncultured bacterium
Lineage: Bacteria
Description: partial 16S ribosomal RNA
Rfam family: Bacterial small subunit ribosomal RNA
Source: RNAcentral